RNAcentral lists this ribosomal RNA (532 nucleotides) under uncultured bacterium. RNAcentral describes it as "bacterial SSU rRNA". It matches the Rfam family "Bacterial small subunit ribosomal RNA", at positions 202 to 714 of the family's 1533-position model. The record is from RNAcentral.
AAGAAAGGGAGGCUCUUCGGAGCUUUCGCUGGAGGAGGGGCUUGCGUCUGAUUAGCUAGUUGGAGGGGUAACGGCCCACCAAGGCGACGAUCAGUAGCCGGUCUGAGAGGAUGAACGGCCACAUUGGGACUGAGACACGGCCCAGACUCCUACGGGAGGCAGCAGUGGGGAAUCUUCCGCAAUGGACGAAAGUCUGACGGAGCAACGCCGCGUGAACGAUGACGGCCUUCGGGUUGUAAAGUUCUGUUAUACGGGACGAAUGGUACGACGGUCAAUACCCGUCGUAAGUGACGGUACCGUAAGAGAAAGCCACGGCUAACUACGUGCCAGCAGCCGCGGUAAUACGUAGGUGGCAAGCGUUGUCCGGAAUUAUUGGGCGUAAAGGGCGCGCAGGCGGCGUCGUAAGUCGGUCUUAAAAGUGCGGGGCUUAACCCCGUGAGGGGACCGAAACUGCGAUGCUAGAGUAUCGGAGAGGAAAGCGGAAUUCCUAGUGUAGCGGUGAAAUGCGUAGAUAUUAGGAGGAACACCAGUG